UUGAAAGGGAAACGAUUGAAGUCAGUCGUACCGACGAGAAAUCAACUUAUCAUGUGCGAACUUGUGGGCGUGCGUGAGUUUCGGCCUCGCUGUUUGCAUGUUUGUGCGCUUUGGGUGUACUUUUUCGUAUGGUAGGCCAACGUCAGUUUCGAUUAUCAUAAAAUGACCGGUGGAAUGUAGCUUCGAUUUCGGUUGAAGUGUUAUAGCCUCUGGUAGAUGUGGUGAUUUAGACUGGGGAUUGCAACGAAUACCCUUUGGGCUAUCCGUCUGGCCUCUGAAAGUUGCUCAGGUGCCGAAAGCGUGCUUACGGUCAUCUAAGAUAACGUUCAACAGGUUAGAACGUGAUUACAUUCGUUAAGGAUGUUGACGUA
RNAcentral lists this ribosomal RNA (371 nucleotides) under uncultured Glomeromycotina. RNAcentral's name for it is "eukaryotic LSU rRNA". Lineage: Eukaryota; Fungi; Glomeromycota. The record is from RNAcentral.